This 618-nucleotide non-coding RNA is filed under the name Trichomonas vaginalis G3. RNAcentral's name for it is "Eukaryotic small subunit ribosomal RNA". It matches the Rfam family "Eukaryotic small subunit ribosomal RNA", at positions 1163 to 1831 of the family's 1831-position model. Lineage: Eukaryota; Parabasalia; Trichomonadida; Trichomonadidae. The record is from Rfam by way of RNAcentral.
GGCACACCAGGGGUGGAGCCUGUGGCUUAAUUUGAAUCAACACGGGGAAACUUACCAGGACCAGAUGUUUUUUAUGACUGACAGGCUUCGGGUCUUUCAGGAUAUUGUUUUUGGUGGUGCAUGGCCGUUGGUGGUGCGUGGGUUGACCUGUCUAGCGUUGAUUCAGCUAACGAGCGAGAUUAUCGCCAAUUAUUUACUUUGCCGAAGUCCUUCGGUUAAAGUUCUAAUUGGGACUCCCUGCGAUUUUAGCAGGUGGAAGAGGGUAGCAAUAACAGGUCCGUGAUGCCCUUUAGAUGCUCUGGGCUGCACGCGUGCUACAAUGUUAGGAUCAAUAGGACUGCGAGCCUGAGAGGGUGCGCUACUCUUAUAAUCCCUAACGUAGUUGGGAUUGACGUUUGUAAUCAGCGUCAUGAACCAGGAAUCCCUUGUAAAUGUGUGUCAACAACGCACGUUGAAUACGUCCCUGCCCUUUGUACACACCGCCCGUCGCUCCUACCGAUUGGAUGACUCGGUGAAAUCACCGGAUGCUUACGAGCAGAAAGUGAUUAAAUCACGUUAUCUAGAGGAAGGAGAAGUCGUAACAAGGUAACGGUAGGUGAACCUGCCGUUGGAUCAGUU